This is a non-coding RNA of Paramuricea clavata, 342 nucleotides long. The record is from the annotation of a GenBank genome assembly. NCBI's taxonomy places the organism in Eukaryota, Metazoa, Cnidaria, Anthozoa, Malacalcyonacea, Plexauridae.
CGCCGCAGCAAAUUUCGAAACCGUCGACGGUCGAGCACAUCAUUGAUGGUCGAACACAUCAUUAAUCUCGUUCCCAGAUCGCGCUAGCGAUAAUUAGCGCGUGAAACCAUUUGGUGACAUCUUACACCAAGUCGAUGAAAAGAUUUCGCGCGGCAUGAUAAAUAAUGUUCAGAUUUUUGAAAAGAUGGCGGGUAGCAGUGGAAACGCAAAGCAGUCGAUUCGGUUUACCGGUUAUCAUGCCUUCUACAAGAGUGUUGCAGUAAGUAUAUUUUAAAAUUUAUUAUUUUAAUGUUGAAGUAUCGUAAAAUAUUACAAAUAGAUUGUAGAAAACCAUCUCAGAAC